AUUGAACGCUGGCGGCAGGCCUAACACAUGCAAGUCGAGCGGCUGCACAGUACUUGCUCCUGGUUUCAGCUGCGGACGGGCGAGUGAUUCCUAGGAAUCUCCCUGUUUACGGUGUCUAGCGUCCUGACGCGGGCGCUCUUACCCCAUUCCCCCAUACGGCGUACGGGUGGAAUCAUCGGACCUCCGGCUCUCGGAUGAGCCUAGGUGGGAUUAGCUAGUUGGUGGGGUAAAGGCCUACCAAGGCGACGAUCCGUAACUGGUCUGAGAGGAUGAUCGGCCACACUGGAACUGAGACACGGUCCAGACUCCUACGGGAGGCAGCAGUGGGGAAUAUUGGACAAUGGGCGAAAGCCUGAUCCAGCCAUGCCGCGUGGGUGAAGAAGGUCUUCGGAUUGUAAAGCACUUUUAGUGGGGAGGAAGGGCAGUAAGUUAAUACCUCGCUGUUUUGACGGUACCAACAGAAUAAGCACCGGCUAACUUCGUG
Molecule: ribosomal RNA, 484 nt
Filed under: uncultured bacterium
Lineage: Bacteria
Description: partial 16S ribosomal RNA
Rfam family: Bacterial small subunit ribosomal RNA
Source: RNAcentral